UGAGUACGAGCGGCUACGGCCGCGAAGUGGAUGAUGUCAAGCUUCCAAGAAAAGCCCUAUACCCGUUAAGGCAUGAUGGCCUGUACCCGAAACCGACACAGGUGGGGUGGUAGAGAAUACCGAGGGGCGCGAGGUAACUCUCUCUAAGGAACUCGGCAAAAUGGCCCCGUAACUUCGGGAGAAGGGGUGCCACCGCGAGGUGGUCGCAGUGAAGAGGCCCAGGCGACUGUUUACCAAAAACACAGGUCUCCGCUAAGUCGCAAGACGAUGUAUGGGGGCUGACGCCUGCCUAGUGCCGGAAGGUUAAGGAAGCUGGUCAGCGCAAGCGAAGCUGGCGACUGAAGCCCCGGUGAACGGCGGCCGUAACAAUAACGGUCCUAAGGUAGCGAAAUUCCUUGUCGGGUAAGUUCCGACCCGCACGAAAGGCGUAACGAUCUGGGCGCUGUCUCGGAGAGAGGCUCGGCGAAAUAGAAUUGUCUGUGAAGAUGCGGACUACGUGCACCCGGACAGAAAGACCCUAUGAAGCUUUACUGUAGCUUGGUAUUGUGCUCGGGCUCGGAAUGCGCAGGAUAGGUGGGAGGCUUUGAUCCAUUGCUUGCGGGUGAUGGUGAGCCACUGGUGAGAUACCACUCUUUCCGAGCUAGAGUUCUAACAGCAACCCGUUAUCCGGGUGCUGGACAGUAUCAGGUGGGCAGUUUGACUGGGGCGGUCGCCUCCUAAAAGGUAACGGAGGCGCGCAAAGGUCUGCUCAGGCUGGUUGGAAAUCAGCCGACGAGUGUAAAAGCAGAAGCAGGCUUGACUGUGAGACCUACAAGUCGAACAGGGAGGAAACUCGGCUUUAGUGAUCCGACGGUUCUGCGUGGAAGGGCCGUCGCUCAACGGAUAAAAGUUACUCUAAGGAUAACAGGCUGAUCUCCCCCAAGAGUUCACAUCGACGGGGAGGUUUGGCACCUCGAUGUCGGCUCAUCGCAACCUGGGGCUGAAGUCGGUCCCAAGGGUUGGGCUGUUCGCCCAUUAAAGCGGUACGCGAGCUGGGUUCAGAACGUCGUGAGACAGUUCGGUCCAUAUCCGGUGCACGCGCAGGAAUAUUGAGAGGAUUUCUCCCUAGUACGAGAGGACCGGGAGGAACGCACCUCUGGUGUGCCAGUUAUCGUGCCAACGGUAAACGCUGGGUAGCCAUGUGCGGAGUGGAUAACCGCUGAAAGCAUCUAAGUGGGAAGCCCACCUCAAGAUGAGUAUUCCCAUGGCAUAAGCCAGUAAGGUCACGGGAAGAACACCCGUUGAUAGGCUCUACGUGGAAGCGCAGUAAUGUGUGAAGCGGAGGAGUACUAAUAGACCGAGGGCUUGAC
Molecule: ribosomal RNA, 1349 nt
Filed under: metagenome
Description: bacterial LSU rRNA
Rfam family: Bacterial large subunit ribosomal RNA
Source: RNAcentral